RNAcentral lists this small nucleolar RNA (138 nucleotides) under Ornithorhynchus anatinus (platypus). The record is from RNAcentral. Lineage: Eukaryota; Metazoa; Chordata; Mammalia; Monotremata; Ornithorhynchidae.
CCCCUCUCAGGAUCACACCUGGAGAGUUUCCAGUCCUCUACCAGUCUUGACUACAGGAAGGGGAGCCUAGCAGAGGCCUACUCAUUCCAUUCCUGGCUUGGGAAACGGCUAGCGAGUGGAAGGCCAUCUGCUAUAAAU